Molecule: ribosomal RNA, 373 nt
Filed under: uncultured organism
Description: partial 16S ribosomal RNA
Rfam family: Bacterial small subunit ribosomal RNA
Source: RNAcentral
GUAGGUGGGCAAGCGUUGUCCGGAAUUAUUGGGCGUAAAGCGCGCGCAGGGCGGUCCUUUAAGUCUGAUGUGAAAGCCCACGGCUCAACCGUGGAGGGUCAUUGGAAACUGGGGGACUUGAGUACAGAAGAGGAAAGCGGAAUUCUAAGUGUAGCGGUGAAAUGCGUAGAGAUUUGGAGGAACACCAGUGGCGAAGGCGGCUUUCUGGUCUGUAACUGACGCUGAGGCGCGAAAGCGUGGGGAGCAAACAGGAUUAGAUACCCUGGUAGUCCACGCCGUAAACGAUGAGUGCUAAGUGUUAGGGGGUUUCCGCCCCUUAGUGCUGCAGCUAACGCAUUAAGCACUCCGCCUGGGGAGUACGGCCGCAAGGCUG